AUACGGAGGGAGCGAGCGUUAAUCGGAAUUACUGGGCGUAAAGCGCGCGUAGGCGGCUUUGUAAGUCGGAUGUGAAAGCCCAGGGCUCAACCCUGGAAUUGCAUUCGAUACUGCAUGGCUAGAGUAUGGUAGAGGGAAGUGGAAUUUCCGGUGUAGCGGUGAAAUGCGUAGAUAUCGGAAGGAACACCAGUGGCGAAGGCGACUUCCUGGACCAAAACUGACGCUGAGGUACGAAAGCGUGGGGAGCAAACAGGAUUAGAAACCCCAGUAGUCC
This 274-nucleotide ribosomal RNA is filed under the name uncultured bacterium. Its description in RNAcentral is "partial 16S ribosomal RNA". It matches the Rfam family "Bacterial small subunit ribosomal RNA", at positions 523 to 796 of the family's 1533-position model. The record is from RNAcentral.